Molecule: ribosomal RNA, 253 nt
Filed under: uncultured bacterium
Lineage: Bacteria
Description: partial 16S ribosomal RNA
Rfam family: Bacterial small subunit ribosomal RNA
Source: RNAcentral
AACGUAGGAGACAAACGUUAUCCGGAGUUACUGGGCGUAAAGGGCGUGUAGGUGGUUUCGUAAGUCUGGCGUGAAAUUUCUCGGCUUAACCGAGGCAGGUCGUCGGAUACUGCGGAACUUGAGGACGGUAGAGGCGUGUGGAAUUCCGAGUGUAGAGGUGAAAUUCGUAGAUAUUCGGAAGAACACCAGUGGCGAAGGCGACACACUGGGCCAUUACUGACGCUGAGGCGCGAAAGCGUGGGGAGCAAACAGG